UCGGGUGUGGUGUACGGCGCACGGCAGCUAAUGUUGGUCAUAUAAUAAUAUUUCAUUUAUAUUGCAGGACGGGGUUCGAUCCCCCGCACCCGAA
Molecule: non-coding RNA, 94 nt
Organism: Mycena olivaceomarginata
Lineage: Eukaryota; Fungi; Basidiomycota; Agaricomycetes; Agaricales; Mycenaceae
Source: the annotation of a GenBank genome assembly